GGGAGUGUAGCUCAACAGAAUAGAGCACCGAUCUUCUAAAUCGGCCUGUGUAGGUUUGAGUCCUGCCACUCCUGCCA
This 77-nucleotide transfer RNA is filed under the name Oculatellaceae cyanobacterium Prado106. RNAcentral describes it as "tRNA-Arg". It matches the Rfam family "tRNA". Rfam says of the family: Transfer RNA (tRNA) molecules are approximately 80 nucleotides in length. Their secondary structure includes four short double-helical elements and three loops (D, anti-codon, and T loops). Further hydrogen bonds mediate the characteristic L-shaped molecular structure. tRNAs have two regions of fundamental functional importance: the anti-codon, which is responsible for specific mRNA codon recognition, and the 3' end, to which the tRNAs corresponding amino acid is attached (by aminoacyl-tRNA synthetases). tRNAs cope with the degeneracy of the genetic code in two manners: having more than one tRNA (with a specific anti-codon) for a particular amino acid; and 'wobble' base-pairing, i.e. permitting non-standard base-pairing at the 3rd anti-codon position. Lineage: Bacteria; Bacillati; Cyanobacteriota; Cyanophyceae; Oculatellales; Oculatellaceae. The record is from RNAcentral.